RNAcentral lists this ribosomal RNA (301 nucleotides) under uncultured bacterium. RNAcentral's name for it is "partial 16S ribosomal RNA". It matches the Rfam family "Bacterial small subunit ribosomal RNA", at positions 509 to 807 of the family's 1533-position model. The record is from RNAcentral.
CAGUAGCCGCGGUAAUACGGAGGGUGCAAGCGUUAAUCGGAAUUACUGGGCGUAAAGCGUGCGUAGGCGGUUCGUUAAGUCUGUUGUGAAAGCCCCGGGCUCAACUUGGGAAUGGCAAUGGAUACUGGCGAGCUAGAGUGUGUCAGAGGAUGGUGGAAUUCCCGGUGUAGCGGUGAAAUACGUAGAGAUCGGGAGGAACAUCAGUGGCGAAGGCGGCCAUCUGGGACAGCACUGACGCUGAGGCACGAAAGCGUGGGGAGCAAACAGGAUUAGAUACCCCCGUAGUCCCUGUCUCUUAUAC